RNAcentral lists this ribosomal RNA (496 nucleotides) under uncultured bacterium. Its description in RNAcentral is "partial 16S ribosomal RNA". It matches the Rfam family "Bacterial small subunit ribosomal RNA", at positions 28 to 507 of the family's 1533-position model. The record is from RNAcentral.
GAUGAACGCUGGCGGCGUGCCUAAUACAUGCAAGUCGAGCGAACAGACGAGGAGCUUGCUCCUCUGACGUAGCGGCGGACGGGUGAGUAACACGUGGAUAACCUACCUAUAAGACUGGGAUAACUUCGGGAAACCGGAGCUAAUACCGGAUAAUAUAUUGAACCGCAUGGUUCAAUAGUGAAAGACGGUUUUGCUGUCACUUACAGAUGGAUCCGCGCCGCAUUAGCUAGUUGGUAAGGUAACGGCUUACCAAGGCAACGAUGCGUAGCCGACCUGAGAGGGUGAUCGGCCACACUGGAACUGAGACACGGUCCAGACUCCUACGGGAGGCAGCAGUAGGGAAUCUUCCGCAAUGGGCGAAAGCCUGACGGAGCAACGCCGCGUGAGUGAUGAAGUUCUUCGGAUCGUAAAACUCUGUUAUUAGGGAAGAACAAAUGUGUAAGUAACUAUGCACGUCUUGACGGUACCUAAUCAGAAAGCCACGGCUAACUACGUG